UCGACUUGAGCUCAGGCAAGAUUACCCGCUGAACUUAAGCAUAUCAAUAAGCGGAGGAAAAGAAACUAACAAGGAUUCCCUUAGUAACGGCGAGCGAAACGGGAAAAGCCCAACUUGGAAAAAUCUUCGGAGAAUUGUAGUCUAGAGAAGUGUCCUCUGCGGCGACCGGGCCCCAAGUUCCCUGGAAAGGGACGUCAGAGAGGGUGACAAUCCGUCGGGCCUUGGUUUCGCUGCCUCACGAGGUGCUUUCAAAGAGUCGGGUUGUUUGGGAAUGCAGCCCAAAGUAGGUGGUAAAUCCCAUCUAAGGCUAAAUAUUGGCGAGAGACCGAUAGCGAACAAGUACCGCGAGGGAAAGAUGAAAAGAACUUUGAAAAGAGAGUUAAAAAGUGCUUGAAAUUGUCGAGGGGGAAGCGAUUGGCAGCUGUGGGUGCGUCCAGGCUUAUGCGUCUUUAACGAGGCGUUGUAUGUGCUGGGUGCUGGUCAGCAUGGGUUGGCUUGGCAGGACAAAAGCAGAGGUUGUUACUCUGCCGAUGCUGCCGGGCCGACCAAGGUGUGAAGGCCGCUCUUGUCCUUCGGGAACUGCGGCCUCAAGAUGCUGGCAGAAGGCUUUCAAUCGGCCCGUCUUGAAACACGGACCAAGGAGUCUAGCAUGUAUGCGAGUUGGUGGGUGGAAAACCCAUGAGCGCAAGUAACCUGACUGGUGGGAUGGCUUCGGCCUGCACCAUCGACCGACCAUGAUCUUCUGUGAAAGGUUUGAGUACGAGCAUACCUGUUGGGACCCGAAAGAUGGUGAACUAUGCCUGAGCAGGGCGAAGCCAGGGGAAACUCUGGUGGAGGCUCGUAGAUGUGCUGACGUGCAAAUCGCUUUUCGGACUUGGGUAUAGGGGCGAAAGACUAAUCGAACCAUCUAGUAGCUGGUUCCCUCCGAAGUUUCCCCCAGGAUAGCUGGAGCUUUUUCAGUUUUAUCGGGUAAAGCUAAUGAUUAGAGGUUCGGGGGAUGAAACAUCUUCCACCUAUUCUCAAACUUUAAAUAGGUAAGACGUAUGGGUUGCUUAAUUGAACCCAUGCAUUCAAUGAGAGCUCCAAGUGGGCCAUUUUUGGUAAGCAGAACUGGCGAUGCGGGAUGAACCGAUAGUCGAGUUAAGGCGCCGGACUACGCGCUAACCUAGAUCCCACAAAGGGUGUUGAUUGAUACAGACAGCAGGACGGUGGUCAUGGAAGUCGAAAUCCGCUAAGGAGUGUGUAACAACUCACCUGCCGAAUCAAUUAGCCCCGAAAAUGGAUSSSSSUGAAGCGCGUGGCCUAUACUCGGCCAUGGAGACAAGUGCGAGGUCUCCAUGAGUAGGAGGGCGUGGGUGUCGCUGYGCAGCCUGAGGCGUGAGCCUGGGUGAAGCGGCANCUAGUGCAGAUCUUGGUGGUAGUAGCAAAUAUUCAAAUGASAACUUU
This 1446-nucleotide ribosomal RNA is filed under the name Schizomeris leibleinii. RNAcentral's name for it is "eukaryotic LSU rRNA". It matches the Rfam family "Eukaryotic large subunit ribosomal RNA", at positions 1 to 1485 of the family's 3401-position model. The record is from RNAcentral. Lineage: Eukaryota; Viridiplantae; Chlorophyta; Chlorophyceae; Chaetophorales; Schizomeridaceae.